GCGUGAGUGAUGAAGGCCCUAGGGUUGUAAAGCUCUUUUGCCAGGGAUGAUAAUGACAGUACCUGGAGAAUAAGCUCCGGCUAACUCCGUGCCAGCAGCCGCGGUAAUACGGAGGGAGCUAGCGUUGUUCGGAAUUACUGGGCGUAAAGCGCGCGUAGGCGGCUUUGCAAGUUAGAGGUGAAAUCCCAGGGCUUAACCCUGGAACUGCCUUUAAAACUGCAUCGCUAGAACGUUGGAGAGGUAAGUGGAAUUCCGAGUGUAGAGGUGAAAUUCGU
This 275-nucleotide ribosomal RNA is filed under the name uncultured bacterium. RNAcentral describes it as "partial 16S ribosomal RNA". It matches the Rfam family "Bacterial small subunit ribosomal RNA", at positions 399 to 691 of the family's 1533-position model. The record is from RNAcentral.